AGGAGAACUGAGGCCCGUAAAAACCUAGCUCCCUUCCCCUUUCUCCUCAAAACCCUACCUCCACUUCUCCUUCCUCGCGCCUCCAAAACCCUAUCUGAAAACCAGAGGGGAGAGGGAGGAGAAACCCUAGAAUUCCAACCUUCUCCUCGUCAAAGCCUCGCUCCGUCGGGCGAUGGCACUCUACCUCCCCUUUGAAUCCGCCUCCGGCUACAUCCUCUUCCACGCGUACGGCCUCGACGAGAUCGGCCAGAACACCGAGGCCGUCCGGAACUCGGUCCUCGACCUCAUGCGCCUUUGGCAAGGUGGUCAAGCUCGUCGCCUUCCACCCUUUCUCCUCCGCCCUCGAUGCCCUGAACCAAUGCAACGCCAUCUCCGAAGGGCUCAUGACCGAUGCGUUGAGGAACUUCUUGGAAAUCAACCUCCCGAAACCAAAAGAGGGGAAGAAGGCUAAGUUCAGCCUCGGCGUUGCAGAGCCCAAGGUUGGGUCUCAGAUCUUUGAAGUGACCAAGAUUCCUUGCCAGAGCAAUGAGUUCUCUCGAGCUCCUUCAUGGUGUCAGGUUGCACUUUGAUAGGUUCAUUAAAGACUUGAAGAUUGGAUUUUUGUCACCUGAUUGAGUAGUUUAUAUCUGCUAUAAGUUAUACUGGGUUUUCAUGUAAAGAUGAUGUUGUUCUGUUUAUUUUGUCUUUGUGGUUAUAGCCAUUAGACUUGGAGAAGCCUCAGCUGGGUUUGAGUACAAUCAUUGUUCAGGAUCUCGGUCAUUUGUUGCAACAAUGACUAUACCGCCGGAGUUUAAUGAUUCUGAAAACCUUGAAUUUUCAGAAUUCUAUAAGAAAACUCAUACCAAGAAGAACAAAGAGUGGAUUGAUCCUAUUUGCGUCGUGAAACAUGUAGUCAAAGAUGUUGAGCUUGCGAGAAGAAUCUUUCCAAUCCGGUGUGCAAUUAACAUAAGAGGAGAUGUCUAGACAGACACUUGGAAAAAGAAAGAGAUACAUUCUUAGAUUUAGGGUUGGGCUGAAGCCCUCUUCAUCUUCUUCCAUACCUAGUCGUGUGUCACAAGACCAUGUUGGGGAGUUGCAGAAACUUAAAGCUGAGAUGGAGGAGAUAAAGAUGGAGCAUGAGGAGCUGCGGAGGCAAUUGGAGCAGGAGAGGAGAGAGCAUGAGGAGGAAAAGAAAGAGCGAGAGGAAGAACAGAAGCAAAUUGCACAUCUUACAAGUUUGGUGACAGAGUUCUUAAAGAAAAAGACCAAACACACAAGUCAUCUAUCCAUCAUAAUGGGCCAUGUAUUCAACUGGUGGUACAAAUACUCGUUGAUACAUGGUGGAGUUAUGAGCAUGUGAAAUCUAGUUUCUGGUACAUGAAUAGCUUUUGUUCAGAUGAUCAUGGUGGAGUUGUCUGCAAGCAGAAUCCAGUUUUUAGUAUAAGAAUAUUUUUAUCUACAUGAUGGUUGUUUGGAUGAAUAGCAAGAUCAGAUAUUUUGGGAUUUUUAAUUUACAUUUUGAUGUGUUUGGUGAUGAUUAUCACCUUAACAUAUGGUAUGGAUGAAACAUUGUGAUGCAUGGUUAAUAGGUAUGCUUAACGUUAGACUUAUAGAUGAUGAUAUUUAUAAUGAAUGAUUAUGGAUUCUCCAA
This is a non-coding RNA of Phoenix dactylifera (date palm), 1630 nucleotides long. The record is from RefSeq and is a predicted model, not a curated record. NCBI's taxonomy places the organism in Eukaryota, Viridiplantae, Streptophyta, Magnoliopsida, Arecales, Arecaceae.